RNAcentral lists this ribosomal RNA (256 nucleotides) under uncultured Gardnerella sp. RNAcentral's name for it is "partial 16S ribosomal RNA". It matches the Rfam family "Bacterial small subunit ribosomal RNA", at positions 99 to 354 of the family's 1533-position model. Lineage: Bacteria; Bacillati; Actinomycetota; Actinomycetes; Bifidobacteriales; Bifidobacteriaceae. The record is from RNAcentral.
CGAACGGGUGAGUAAUGCGUGACCAACCUGCCCCAUGCUCCAGAAUAGCUCUUGGAAACGGGUGGUAAUGCUGGAUGCUCCAACUUGACGCAUGUCUUGUUGGGAAAGUGUUUAGUGGCAUGGGAUGGGGUCGCGUCCUAUCAGCUUGUGGGCGGGGUAAUGGCCCACCUAGGCUUCGACGGGUAGCCGGCCUGAGAGGGCGGACGGCCACAUUGGGACUGAGAUACGGCCCAGACUCCUACGGGAGGCAGCAGGU